CCCUGCCAUUUGUACACACCGCCCGUCGCUCCUACCGAUUGGGUGAUCCGGUGAACUGUUCGGAGCGCACCCUCUCUGGGUUUCCAGUUGGGUGUGUGAAGUUCUGUAAACCUUAUCACCUAGAGGAAGGAGAAGUCGUAACAAGGUUUC
Molecule: ribosomal RNA, 150 nt
Filed under: uncultured eukaryote
Lineage: Eukaryota
Description: partial small subunit ribosomal RNA
Rfam family: Eukaryotic small subunit ribosomal RNA
Source: RNAcentral